This 496-nucleotide ribosomal RNA is filed under the name uncultured bacterium. RNAcentral describes it as "partial 16S ribosomal RNA". It matches the Rfam family "Bacterial small subunit ribosomal RNA", at positions 28 to 506 of the family's 1533-position model. The record is from RNAcentral.
GAUGAACGCUGGCGGCGUGCCUAAUACAUGCAAGUCGAGCGAACAGACGAGGAGCUUGCUCCUCUGACGUUAGCGGCGGACGGGUGAGUAACACGUGGAUAACCUACCUAUAAGACUGGGAUAACUUCGGGAAACCGGAGCUAAUACCGGAUAAUAUAUUGAACCGCAUGGUUCAAUAGUGAAGGACGGUUUUGCUGUCACUUAUAGAUGGAUCCGCGCCGCAUUAGCUAGUUGGUAAGGUAACGGCUUACCAAGGCAACGAUGCGUAGCCGACCUGAGAGGGUGAUCGGCCACACUGGAACUGAGACACGGUCCAGACUCCUACGGGAGGCAGCAGUAGGGAAUCUUCCGCAAUGGGCGAAAGCCUGACGGAGCAACGCCGCGUGAGUGAUGAAGGUCUCCGGAUCGUAAAACUCUGUUAUUAGGGAAGAACAAAUGUGUAAGUAACUAUGCACGUCUUGACGGUACCUAAUCAGAAAGCCACGGCUAACUACGU